Molecule: unclassified non-coding RNA, 378 nt
Filed under: plant metagenome
Description: partial contains 5.8S ribosomal RNA, internal transcribed spacer 2, and large subunit ribosomal RNA
Rfam family: 5.8S ribosomal RNA (bases 1-105)
Source: RNAcentral
GAAAUGCGAUAAGUAAUGUGAAUUGCAGAAUUCAGUGAAUCAUCGAAUCUUUGAACGCACCUUGCGCACCUUGGUAUUCCUUGGAGCAUGCCUGUUUGAGUAUCAUGAAAUCUUCAAAGUAAAUCUUUUGUUAACUCAAUUGGUUUCUACUUUGGUAUUGGAGGUCUUUGCAGCUUCACACCUGCUCCUCUUUGUUCAUUAGCUGGAUCUCAGUGUUAUGCUUGGUUCCACUCGGCGUGAUAAGUUAUCUAUCGCUGAGGACACUGUAAAAGGUGGCCAAGGUAAAUGCAGAUGAACCGCUUCUAAUAGUCCAUUGACUUGGACAAUACUUUUAUGAUCUGAUCUCAAAUCAGGUAGGACUACCCUCUGAACUUAAGC